CACGGCCUAACACAUGCAAGUCGAACGAAGCCUUCGGGCUUAGUGGCGCACGGGUGCGUAACGCGUGGGAAUCUGCCCUUGGGUUCGGAAUAACAGUUAGAAAUGACUGCUAAUACCGGAUGAUGACGUAAGUCCAAAGAUUUAUCGCCCAGGGAUGAGCCCGCGUAGGAUUAGCUAGUUGGUGGGGUAAAGGCCUACCAAGGCGACGAUCCUUAGCUGGUCUGAGAGGAUGAUCAGCCACACUGGGACUGAGACACGGCCCAGACUCCUACGGGAGGCAGCAGUGGGGAAUAUUGGACAAUGGGCGAAAGCCUGAUCCAGCAAUGCCGCGUGAGUGAUGAAGGCCUUAGGGUUGUAAAGCUCUUUUACCCGGGAUGAUAAUGACAGUACCGGGAGAAUAAGCUCCGGCUAACUCCGUGCCAGCAGCCGCGGUAAU
RNAcentral lists this ribosomal RNA (436 nucleotides) under uncultured bacterium. Its description in RNAcentral is "bacterial SSU rRNA". It matches the Rfam family "Bacterial small subunit ribosomal RNA", at positions 43 to 524 of the family's 1533-position model. The record is from RNAcentral.